UUUAUUUAUAUGUUUUCUCGGGUUUCCUUUUCUAUAUUUUAAAAAAAAAGUUUUCACCUUUACCCUUUCCGUAUUAAUUAUGAUUACUUUAAAUUUGCGAUUAAAUCACCGGUAGUAAAGCAAGCAGGACGCAGGUAGCUUUGGCCGUGGAUCAUUCUGGAAAAUAUCAAAUUCCGUCCCCGUAAGAAAUAGGUCCAACAGACCGUGUUUGAUUGGUGCGAAAGAUAUCAUUGGGAGAAGUGUGAUUUUUUUAUAAGAGUUCUAAGAGAAUUAACUGCUGUACAGAGGACAAUAACAGGUCUGCAAGUCGAACUCUAAGGCCGAAAGGAUGAUAAAGAUGUUGCGCAUUUGAAGCAUGUGAGUGAUAUGGAAAAGAAGAUUGAGACUUUAUCAAGGAUUACUACCAUAAUGAAAGAUGUUAUUCAGAAUAAGGAUCACAUUAUAGCUCAUCUUCAACAACCAUAUUCACUGGAUUGCAUUCUUGUGGAAGCAGAAUUUCAGGUUUGUUUACCUGGUUAAGUAUAGUUUGUUUUAAGCAGAGUGGUGUUUUUAUAUAUAAAUUUGCUUUGACCACGUUUAGUACCAAUUCACCUUGCAUGGACAAUUUAACUGAUGGUUACGCGGUUUAGAUAUUGGAGUGAAUAACUAAUUGGUGGGCUGUCUUUAAGGCAUGACUUAAGGUUUUGUUUUUAGGAUUAGAGACUUCAAUGUUGGUAAAAAGCAAAUGAGAGUUUUAGGUUUCAUAAAUUUAAGGUUUGUUUGUUCAUAGUACUUAUUGAUUUAGAUGCUCUUGUUCUUUUGUAAAGACAAAAUAUGAAAAUAUUAGGCCUACUUAUGCCUAGUUUAGAUACUUGUAUUGUUCUCAGCCCUUGGAUAGAUGAGCUGACAGCUGCUGAUCUCAGUCAUAUCUUGCACUGUAUUAUACCAUGUCAACUUGAAACAAGGAUUUGAACUUCAAAUAUUGGAGCUAAAGUAUAGUUUUUCUGUAUCUGAACAUGGAGAUUUCAGCAAUUAAUAGGAGAUUUUAACUCAUAGGAAUCUUCCCUUGUACAUAUUUGAUACUUUCUUGAUGAAACAUAGUGGACACUGGCUGUAAUUGCGUUAUGUAUUACUAAUGGCUUCUUUAGCUUAGAUAUGCACAGAAACAAUUUUCAGAGUUACUGAUGAAAGCUGCCAGUGACUAUGUAGCCUUGACAGCAUCUUUUUCAGAUUUCUAAUGGAGUCAUAAUUCUAAGGAACCUCCUUCAGUUUGGGGGGUAUGUUUAUGAAGCAUUGGAUUGGUUCCUGCAUUUUAAAUCCAGGCUGCUAUAUUUGUAACAACUAAAGAAAAUCUGAUUUGGAACACACCAUAUCAUGUGAAAGGAUUAUAUCCGAGGCAGGUUGUCGAAAUUUUGUAUGGAAAAUGAGAUGCCCCGCCCAAUUCCUGUUGUUUCAGCGUCAUGCACCCGAUUCUUUGAAGCCAUGUCUGCUAUGAGAGAAUCAGUUGCAGCACUUCAACAUCUAAGGGUUGGUCAUUUUCAACCGAGUUAAUUUUGGAAUAAGUAAUAAAGGCCAUUAAAAAAAAAGGGGAAGGUUCAGGGAGGAUGAAGGGUCGCAUCAUCUCUUACUGUAGUUGCGUACGUGGACGGUGGAUCACAAAUGAGGAAAGUGAAACAUUCCUGCAAAGUUGUUGCAAGAUGUCAUAAUUAUUUCCGCAGUCGGCAUGUUAUUAUCAAGAAGGAAGAUAAGCCUUAAAAGGAGGAGCAAUGCAUUAGCAUUUAAUAUUUUUUAUUACCUACAAAUUUAAUUAAUGUUCGAGAAGCUCUGAAAGUCUGAAUCUAUGAACUUUUUCUUAGUAAUUAAGUUUGUAUUCGGUUCA
Molecule: RNA transcript, 1858 nt
Organism: Mangifera indica (mango)
Lineage: Eukaryota; Viridiplantae; Streptophyta; Magnoliopsida; Sapindales; Anacardiaceae
Gene name: AUGMIN subunit 2-like
Exons: 6
Source: RefSeq, a predicted model, not a curated record